Molecule: ribosomal RNA, 271 nt
Filed under: uncultured eukaryote
Lineage: Eukaryota
Description: partial Eukaryotic large subunit ribosomal RNA
Rfam family: Eukaryotic large subunit ribosomal RNA
Source: RNAcentral
AAUGUAGAUAAGGGAAGUCGGCAAAAUAGAUCCGUACGUUCGCUAAAAGGAUUGGCUCUGAGGGCUGGGCGCAUUUGCCCGCGUGCCGAGGUUGUGGCUGUGCGCUCGCUACUCUCACGGGCGGCGUGUGCGCGGCCUAUUCGGGUGUGCGCGGGACUUGGUGCGCGAUGAACAGCCAACUCAGAACUGGUACGGACAAGGGAAAUCCGACUGUUUAAUUAAAACAAGCAUUGCGAUGGCCGGGGACGGUGUUGCCGCAAUGUGAUUUCUG